GAGGGUAACAGCUCAGUGGUAGAGCAUGUGCUUAGCACGCCUGAGGUCCUGAGUUCAAUUCCCAGUACCUCCA
RNAcentral lists this transfer RNA (73 nucleotides) under Camelus bactrianus (Bactrian camel). It matches the Rfam family "tRNA". From Rfam's summary of the family: Transfer RNA (tRNA) molecules are approximately 80 nucleotides in length. Their secondary structure includes four short double-helical elements and three loops (D, anti-codon, and T loops). Further hydrogen bonds mediate the characteristic L-shaped molecular structure. tRNAs have two regions of fundamental functional importance: the anti-codon, which is responsible for specific mRNA codon recognition, and the 3' end, to which the tRNAs corresponding amino acid is attached (by aminoacyl-tRNA synthetases). tRNAs cope with the degeneracy of the genetic code in two manners: having more than one tRNA (with a specific anti-codon) for a particular amino acid; and 'wobble' base-pairing, i.e. permitting non-standard base-pairing at the 3rd anti-codon position. RNAcentral also lists the same sequence under 2 other names. Lineage: Eukaryota; Metazoa; Chordata; Mammalia; Artiodactyla; Camelidae. The record is from Rfam by way of RNAcentral.